Oreochromis aureus is the source of this 1022-nucleotide long non-coding RNA. The record is from Ensembl. NCBI's taxonomy places the organism in Eukaryota, Metazoa, Chordata, Actinopteri, Cichliformes, Cichlidae.
AAAGACAAGAAAGCUCCUUACUAUGCAUGGAGGGUUUCACCCCAAGUCCAGCACCCUGAGGCUGUACACUAAGCGGAAGGAAGGGGGCCGGGGACUGGUGAGUGUCAGCACCACAGUCCAGGAUGAGACAACGAACAUCCAAGAAUACAUUGGGAAGAUGGCCCCAACUGACUGAGUGCUCAGGGAGUAGUAGUGGAGAAUGACCGAGCUAAGAUCCUGAGGGACUUCCAGAUACAGAUGGACAAAAUGGUGGUGGCUAACCAACCGGACAUAGUGGUGGUAGACAAACAGAAGAAGACGGCCGUAGUGAUCGAUGUAGUGGUUCCAAAUGACAGCAACAGAAAGAAGGAACACGAGAAGCUGGAGAAAUACCAAGGGCUCAGAGAAGAGCUCGAGAGGAUGUGGAGGGUGAAGGGGUUAUCACGAAUACUUCCACCUUUUACCGCAGCAACCUCCCGUAGCAAAUAGCAAGGGAAUUAACAACACAAAGGGAAACAUCCAGCAACAAGUCUCCAGAAUGAAGAGAUGAAUCACACCAGGGCCUGACACCAUUCAAGGGUGCUGGCUGAAGAAGCUAGCAGCUUCACCUGGCAGCACAAAUAAGGAGGCUGCAAACUGCAAGCACUCAUCUGAAAUGGCUAACACUGGGCAGAACAAUCCUGAUAAAGAAGGAUCCCCACAAACUAAAACACCAUCAAAAUACUGGUUGAUAACCUGCAUCUGAGUAGGCAUUGGUAAGACAUUGGAAAAAAAACAUCACAAUGCCUAAGUACCAACUUCUGGUUGAUAGAGCAGUACACCAGAAGUCAAAGACUAGUGAGACCAACCCAAGGACUACCUGGAUUGACUACAAGAAAGCUUAUGACUCAAUGUCCCACAAAUGAUUACUACUGUGUUUGGCACUGUACAGUAAUGCACUAACUCAAAGCCAACCAAACAAGGCUCCAUGAAGUGUGAAAUAUAUGAAGGUCAUGCACUGUCCCCACUGUUGUUCUACACAGGCCUCAAACCCCUAACAGCCA